UCCACCGUAAGGUGGUGGAGGAAUAAGAGCUGGGCAAGACCGGUGCCAGCCGCCGCGGUAAUACCGGCAGCUCGAGUGGUGGCCGAUCUUAUUGGGCCUAAAGCGUCCGUAGCCGGCCACGCAAGUCCAUCGGGAAAUCCGCCAGCCCAACUGGCGGGCGUCCGGUGGAAACUGUGUGGCUUGGGACCGGAAGACCCGACAGGUACGUCUUGGGUAGGAGUGAAAUCCCGUAAUCCUGGACGGACCACCGAUAGCGAAAGCAUGUCGGGAAGACGGAUCCGACGGUGAGGGACGAAAGCCAGGGUCUCGAACCGGAUUAGAUACCCGGGUAGUCCUGGCCGUAAACGAUGUCUGCUAGGUGUGACUCCCACUACGAGUGGGUGUUGUGCCGUAGGGAAGCCGCUAAGCAGACCGCCUGGGAAGUACGUCCGCAAGGAUGAAACUUAAAGGAAUUGGCGGGGGAGCACUACAACCGGAGGAGCCUGCGGUUUAAUUGGACUCAACGCCGGACAUCUCACCAGCAUCGACAACGGUAAUGACGGUCAGGUUGAUGACCUUUCCAGAGCCGUUGAGAGGAGGUGCAUGGCCGCCGUCAGCUCGUACCGUGAGGCGUCCUGUUGAGUCAGGCAACGAGCGAGACCCGCACUCCUAAUUGCCAGCACCGGCUUCGGCCGGGUGGGUACAUUAGGAGGACUGCCGUGGCUAACACGGAGGAAGGAACGGGCAACGGUAGGUCAGUAUGCCCCGAAUGGACCGGGCAACACGCGGGCUACAAUGGCCAAGACAGUGGGAUGCGACACCGAGAGGUGGAGCUAAUCUCCAAACUUGGUCGUAGUUCGGAUUGAGGGCUGAAACUCGCCCUCAUGAAGCUGGAUUCGGUAGUAAUCGCGUGUCAGAAGCGCGCGGUGAAUACGUCCCUGCUCCUUGCACACACCGCCCGUCAAAGCACCCGAGUGGGGUCCGGAUGAGGCCUGAGUUCUCAGGUCGAAUC
RNAcentral lists this ribosomal RNA (991 nucleotides) under uncultured archaeon. RNAcentral describes it as "bacterial SSU rRNA". It matches the Rfam family "Archaeal small subunit ribosomal RNA", at positions 413 to 1409 of the family's 1478-position model. The record is from RNAcentral.